UUCCAGACUCCUACGGGAGGCAGCAGUGAGGAAUAUUGGUCAAUGGCCGGAAGGCUGAGCCAGCCAAGCCGCGUGAAGGACGAAGGUGCCAAGCAUUGUAAACUUCUUUUGUCAAGGGACAAAAUCAGGCUCGAGAGCCUGACCGAGGGUACUUGAAGAAAAAGCAUCGGCUAACUCCGUGCCAGCAGCCGCGGUAAUACGGGGGAUGCGAGCGUUAUCCGGAUUUAUUGGGUUUAAAGGGUGCGCAGGCGGAAGAUCAAGUCAGCGGUAAAAUUGAGGGGCUCAACCUCUUCGAGCCGUUGAAACUGGUUUUCUUGAGUGAGUGAGAAGUAUGCGGAAUGCGUGGUGUAGCGGUGAAAUGCAUAGAUAUCACGCAGAACUCCGAUUGCGAAGGCAGCAUACCGGCGCUCAACUGACGCUCAUGCACGAAAGUGUGGGUAUCGAACAGGAUUAGAUACCCUCGUA
RNAcentral lists this ribosomal RNA (465 nucleotides) under uncultured bacterium. Its description in RNAcentral is "bacterial SSU rRNA". It matches the Rfam family "Bacterial small subunit ribosomal RNA", at positions 329 to 792 of the family's 1533-position model. The record is from RNAcentral.